Molecule: ribosomal RNA, 491 nt
Filed under: uncultured bacterium
Lineage: Bacteria
Description: partial 16S ribosomal RNA
Rfam family: Bacterial small subunit ribosomal RNA
Source: RNAcentral
AUUGAACGCUGGCGGCAUGCUUUACACAUGCAAGUCGAACGGUAACAGGCCUUCGGGUGCUGACGAGUGGCGAACGGGUGAGUAAUGCAUCGGAACGUGCCCAGAGGUGGGGGAUAACGCAGCGAAAGCUGUGCUAAUACCGCAUGUGAUCUGAGGAUGAAAGCGGGGGACCAGGCAGCAAUGUUUGGCCUCGCGCCUUUGGAGCGGCCGAUGUCAGAUUAGGUAGUUGGGGGGGUAAAGGCCUACCAAGCCGACGAUCUGUAGCUGGUCUGAGAGGACGACCGCCAAACCGGGGAUUGGACACGGGCCCAACCCCCAACGGGGGGCAGAGGGGGGAAAUUUGGACAAAGGGGGGAAACCCUAUCCCGCCAAACCCGGUGGGGGAAAAAGGCCCUUCGGGUUGAAACCCGUUUUUGUCGGGAAGAAAAAGGUUCGGGCAAAACCCUGGGGCUGAGACGGGACCCGAAAAAAAAAGCACCGGCUAAUUACGU